RNAcentral lists this ribosomal RNA (501 nucleotides) under uncultured bacterium. RNAcentral describes it as "partial 16S ribosomal RNA". It matches the Rfam family "Bacterial small subunit ribosomal RNA", at positions 30 to 523 of the family's 1533-position model. The record is from RNAcentral.
AUUGAACGCUGGCGGCAUGCCUUACAUAUGCAAGUCGAACGGCAGCACGGGUGCUUGCACCUGGUGGCGAGUGGCGAACGGGUGAGUAAUACAUCGGAACGUACCUUAUCGUGGGGGAUAACGCAGCGAAAGUUGCGCUAAUACCGCAUACGCCCUGAGGGGGCAAGCGGGGGACCGUAAGGCCUCGCGCGAUUAGAGCGGCCGAUGUCUGAUUAGCUUGUUGGUGAGGUAAAAGCUCACCAAGGCGAUGAUCAGUAGCUGGUCUGAGAGGACGAUCAGCCACACUGGGACUGAGACACGGCCCAGACUCCUACGGGAGGCAGCAGUGGGGAAUUUUGGACAAUGGGGGCAACCCUGAUCCAGCAAUGCCGCGUGAGUGAAGAAGGCCUUCGGGUUGUAAAGCUCUUUUGUCAGGGAAGAAACAGCAGCUCUAACACAGUCUGCGAAUGACGGUACCUGAAGAAUAAGCACCGGCUAACUACGUGCCAGCCGCCGCGGUAA